GUGGAUAAUAAGGAAUAAAGAGUGAAUAACAGAAAUAAAGAGUGAAUAAAGACCAAAUAAGGAGUGAAUAAGGAGUGAAUAACAAUAAGGAGUGAAUAAGGAGUGAAUAACAAUAAGGAGUGAAUAAAGAGCAAAUAAGGAUUGAAUAAAGAGUGAAUACGGAGUGAAUAACAAUAAAGAGUGAAUAAGGAGUGAAUAACAAUAAGGAGUGAAUAAGAGUGAAUAAGUAGUGAAUAAUGAGUGAAUAACAAUAAGGAGUGAAUAAAGAGUGAAUAAGUAGUGAAUAAUGAGUGAAUAACAAUAAGGAGUGAAUAACAAUAAAGAGUGAAUAAGGAGUGAAUAACAAUAAGGAGUGAAUAUCAAUAAAGAGUGAAUAAGGAGUGAAUAACAAUAAAGAGUGAAUAAAGAGCAAAUAAGGAUUGAAUAAAGAGUGAAUACGGAGUGAAUAACAAUAAGGAGUGAAUAAAGAGUGAAUAAGUAGUGAAUAAGGAGUGAAUAACAAUAAGGAGUGAAUAAGGAGUGAAUAAGGAGUGAAUAACAAUAAGGAGUGAAUAAGGAGUGAAUAAGGAGUGAAUAACAAUAAAGAUAAAGAGUGAAUAAGGAGUGAAUAAGAAUACGGAGUGAAUAAGUACUGAAUAAGGAGUGAAUAACAAUAAAGAGUGA
Molecule: long non-coding RNA, 663 nt
Organism: Ictalurus punctatus (channel catfish)
Lineage: Eukaryota; Metazoa; Chordata; Actinopteri; Siluriformes; Ictaluridae
Source: Ensembl